AACGAACGCUGGCGGCAUGCCUAACACAUGCAAGUCGAACGAGACCUUCGGGUCUAGUGGCGCAUGGGUGCGUAACGCGUGGGAACUUGCCCUUAGGUUCGGAAUAACUCCCCGAAAGGGGUGCUAAUACCGGAUAAUCUCUUCGGACCAAAGAUUUAUCGCCUGUGGAUGGGCCCGCGUUGGAUUAGCUAGUUGGUAGGGUAAAAGCCUACCAAGGCGACGAUCCAUAGCUGGUCUGAGAGGAUGAUCAGCCACACUGGGACCGAGACACGGCCCAGAUUCCGACGGGGGGCGGCAGUGGGGAAUAUAGGACAAUGGGCGAGAGCCUGAUCCAGCCACGCCGCGUGGGUGUUGAAGGCCUUAGGGUUGUAAAGCUCUUUUACCCGGGAUGAUAAUGACGGUACCGGGAGAAGAAGCUCCGGCUAACUCCGUG
RNAcentral lists this ribosomal RNA (433 nucleotides) under uncultured bacterium. Its description in RNAcentral is "partial 16S ribosomal RNA". It matches the Rfam family "Bacterial small subunit ribosomal RNA", at positions 29 to 507 of the family's 1533-position model. The record is from RNAcentral.